This is a non-coding RNA of Myotis lucifugus (little brown bat), 131 nucleotides long. NCBI's taxonomy places the organism in Eukaryota, Metazoa, Chordata, Mammalia, Chiroptera, Vespertilionidae. The record is from Rfam.
ACUGGAGGACUACGAAGAAGGCUGAGUCUGAUGAAGCAAGACUGCUGAUAUAAAUCCUCUUAGAAAAAAGGGUUGGAGAGAACAGCCCUUAUUGGAGAAUAGCACAGGGCUGACUGUAUUACCCAACAUUC